This 2040-nucleotide long non-coding RNA is filed under the name Sus scrofa (pig). Its description in RNAcentral is "lncRNA (ENSSSCG00015061152.1)". Lineage: Eukaryota; Metazoa; Chordata; Mammalia; Artiodactyla; Suidae. The record is from RNAcentral.
CAGAUUAAUGCUCCAAAUAUUUAACUCAUAAUCCUCAAAAUAACAGUAGGAAGUAGAUAUUAUCGUUCCUAUUUCACAAAUGAAGGAACUAAGCCUCAGAGAGGGUAAGUAACUUUCCCACAAUCAGCAUUAUUAUAUCUCAUGUCUCGAAAGGGCUAGAACCAGAGGUCAAAUCCACACAGCUGACGCCAGAACCUGCCUCCAAUAUGUGUCUGUGUCUUCUGGGCAAAGCCUUGACUCGGCUGUUUAGGGGUUAAAGAUAAUGUGUUUGUGUCUAAACCUGUACGUACUGCACAUGAGAUUCUCGAGAGAGGUGUAAAAUUUAAAGCACCUUCAAAAAACUAGUCAAACAAACCACCGUCACCUGAUUUCAAUUGCUUGACUCUUUACUUGUGGUGCACUGUCUUACAUUAUCUUGAAUUGUACUUAAUUAGUCCUAUUUCUACGAUGAAAACCUCCCUAAUUCCAAAUUUGGCUCUAAGUUCAUAGCUGAAAAUAAACAUUCAUGGUUUACACGUACUAACACAAUUCCCCUCUUAUGAGGCUUAAAAUACUAUGUGGCGAAAGGGUGAAAUCUCUGUCUAUCCAAACAUGACUAAUACGUCUGGAUUGCCUUCACUCAUUCUCUCUGAAAUUGUGCACACGUUAUACAAAGUUACCUGAAAAAUACCACCUAGCAUUUAGUCAGCACUCACCAUGCCAAGUGCUUUUUGCCCCUUAUCCCUAUAACAACUAUAAAAAGCGGUCUUAUCAGAGGCGAGUAUUUUAUUUUAAGCCGCAUCCUUCGCAAAGUGUCCUGCACAGUAGAUACGUAACAAAUGCCGGCUUAUUCAUUUUCAAUUUUGCCAUCCUUGUAUUUUCAUUCAAUUUUGCCAUCCUUGCCUAUAAUUAAUAUGUAUUAGAAACACAACUAAAUUAUAAAGAAGGUUCAGCUGUGCAAAAAAAAGGGGGGAAGCAUUUUUAUAGCAGGAAGCAUCUUAAGAUUUAACAGGAAAUCGGAGUUCCUAGUCUAAAAUAUUUAAUUACUUGCAAAGUCCUUUUAUAGCCUUUAAUGAGUCAUGUUGUAAUUCACGCAAGUCUCCUAUCUUCUGUACAUUCCUGAAUCAGAAACCUCUGUGGGCGCUGCCUGGUUUCCUGAGACAUGCACUCCUUAUAUUGGCAAAGCAUAACUAGGUUAAUCUCCUAUCUGUAACAUUUGAAAAUAAAAAGAAAUUUUAACUCUCUUAUAGAAUUAUCAAAGAAGAGCCUUUCGGUCUUUUAAGGAUUAGAAAGAAAGCAUUUAUAAUCCAAUACAUCUGCUAUCUAAUUUUGGUAAUGGAUACAUAAUUUCAUUUUUGCCAUGCAGAUAAAAGGAUAUUAAAAACACGCGUAUAUACCAAUGAAGGUGUUGCUCUAAAAGCCAUAAACAGCUGACUCCUGAUGUCUACCUUUCAUCUCAGAGAAUUCCAGAAAGCUAUGCCUGCUAACAGAACCCUGAGCUAAUUGGUCUUUUUGCUGAUGAACAAACGUAAAGAUAACAGAAAAAAAAAUGGUUGCAGACAAACAAGAAAAUCAUAAGCCUUAUGUAAUCUAUUACAUCAGUAAAGCCUUGGCAAUGCAGAUAUUCUCAGAAGAUGUACACUCUCCUCCCUAGGCAAGCCCGUGAAGGAAAGAAUUCUUAUCCAAGGCUCAACGAAAGUGCUACUUGUUUAAAUUCACAUUUCCAAUUUUUUUAAAAAAUGGAGUCGAUCAUAGGUAUUCAUGCCACUAUCAUUUCUAAGAUAUCCUCUCCUUUUUUCUUAUAGAUGUAAAAUAGCACAUAAGAGAAUGCAAGGUCCUUUUAUUUUUACUUGAUUACCCAAUUGCAUGCUAUCUUUCACAUUUGAGCAGCUAUUAAAUUUAAGUUCGUUUCCUGGAAGCUGCAAGAUACACAUGGAAGAAUAAAGUGCCCUCCCUAUGCUCAAGGAACUUAUAAUCAGGCAGGUGGAAGAUGAACAGCUUAGAGAACAAGGGCCAUAGCACCAAGCUAGGGGGGUGGAAAAAGACCUCAACUCUUGACUG